This is a long non-coding RNA of Triticum aestivum (bread wheat), 2156 nucleotides long. RefSeq lists it as uncharacterized. The transcript is spliced from 2 exons. The record is from RefSeq and is a predicted model, not a curated record. Lineage: Eukaryota; Viridiplantae; Streptophyta; Magnoliopsida; Poales; Poaceae.
UGCUGUGUGGAAUCCAGUGUUUUCACAGCUGUGUGUUGGAUCCCAUCGGCCUUGGUCCCGAUCGAUCCAGCCGCUCGUUCCUCCUCCAAGGUCGUCUCCUAUUGCUCGCCCCAUCCGCGCCGCUGCCCUUCCGGCCGCCCGUCGCUCCUCCGUCCGCGGCCGCCUGACGCCCUCCAGCUUCGGCCGCCCAGCGCCCCUUCGUCCGCGGCCGCCGGCGCCCCUCCGGCUUCAGCCGCCCGGCGCCCCCGUCCGCGGCCGCCCGGCGUCCCUCCGACUCCGGCUGCUACCCACCACCGGCCCCUUCCACUCGUCGCUGCCGACGGCCCGUCCUGCCUCGCUUGUGGCUCCCUGCCGAGCUGGUGGUCCUGACGCGGGUCGUCGUCUCCACCCACCAGUCGCGAAGCCCGACUGAUCGAGGUCCCCUGCUGCUCGAGGUUCGACCUCUGCCGUGGGCCUUUUGUCUCCCUGGUCGGGUCGCUGCCACUGUUUUCUGCGUGAUUGACUUUCGUCUACGUGGAUUGAUUAUAUACCCAAAAAAAGACAGAGGAGGAGCAUCAUGUCUUCGACAUCAUUGGGCUAUGUCGCCGUUCCACGCUGUCUGGUGAUCUUUGAUGGUGCUAACUAUGCUGAGUUUGCUGCCUUUAUGCGCAUUCACAUGCGUGGCCUUCGUUUAUGGGGAGUUCUUUCUGGCGAGGUUCCUUGUCCUCAGCGUCCAGUUCCUCCUGUGGCUCCUAUUCCACCGCCACUUCCACCGGAUCUUGGCGCAGAUGCUUCUGAUGAUGAUAGGGCUGCAGCCCGGGUUGUUGCUGAUGAUGCGGUCGUUGCUUCUGACCAGCAGGUCGCGGUUUAUUCGGAUGCUCUUUCCAUUUAUCGUGACGAUCUGACUGCUUAUACUCAGUGGUGUGAUGAUGAUGCUCGUGCUGCGGCUGUCCUCACUUCCAGUGUUUUACCACAGUUUGCAUCUGAGUUUAUGGGCCUCAGUACUGUGUUUGAGAUGUGGACUCAUCUUCGUCAGCGCUAUCAGCCCUCUGGUGAUGCUCUCUACUUGUCUGUGGUACGUCAGGAGCAUGCUCUUCAGCAGGGAGACUCCACUAUUGAUGAGUUCUACACUCAAAGUUCUUGCUAUCUGGCGCCAGCUUGACAACCUUCGCACUGCUGUUUGUGGCACUUGUGCGUGUUGCCAGACUGUGAGGUCCGACUUGGAGUUUCAGCGUGUCUAUGAGUUUUUGUCGCGGCUCCGUGGAGAGUUUGAGCCUCGAUGUGCUCAGUUGUUUGCUCGCGGUCGUGUUCCUAUUUCUGAGGUACUUGCUGAGCUUCGUGCUGAGGAGACUCGGCUCCGUGGUGCUGGGUUGCUUCAGGUUCCCUCUGUGUUUGCUGCUUGAACUGCUGCUCCACCAGUGAUUUCUCGCUCCAAUGCCCCACCGCUACUGCCCACUCCUAGUAGUGAGGGUCGCUCUCAUGAGGGUCGCUCUCGUCCUCGUACUCAUUGCAGCUACUGCAACAGGGAUGGUCAUCCCGAGUCUGAUUGCUUCAAGAAGAAGCGUGAUAUGCGUAACAGGGAGCGCAAUUCUUCUUCUAGGACUCGUGCUUCUUCAUCGACGUCAUCUACUGUCUCCUUGACUGAGCAGGAUAUUGUGAAGCUUAAGCGUCUACUUGCCGCUUCAGGUUCUUCGACGGGUACUGCAGGCUCUGUGACUGGUGCUUCUAGUGCUGAGCGGACACCAUCUACACAGUCAGGAUCGUCAGACGAAGGCUCUGGUUGGAGCUGGCCCUCGCCGCCGUGAUUCUCAGGGACUUUGGGAGUUAGACUGGCUUCAUGUUCCUUCCGUUGCCACCACACCCGCCAGUACAUCUGCUUUCGCCAUUUCAGCUGUCAGCUCCUUCCAGCAGUGGCAUCAUCGACUUGGUCACCUUUGUGGUUCUCGACUAUCAUCUUUAGUUCGUCGUGGUCUUCUGGGGCCUGUCUCAGGAGAUGUCUCCUUACACUGUCAGGGUUGUAGGUUGGGUAAACAGAUUCAGUUACCUUAUCCUACUAGUGAGUCGGUGUCUCAGCGCCCUUUUGAUUUAGUACAUUCAGAUGUAUGGGGCCCGGCUCCCUUCGCUUCCAAAGGGGGUCAUCGAUACUAUAUUAUUUUUAUAGAUGAUUUCUCCCGCUA